AUGUCUGUUGUUGUGAUGCAGGGAAGCGAUUUCUUCUUGGAGCAGCCAGCUUCCACAAUGGGCGUCACUCCUUCAACACAAGACCCAUCCUCCUCUUCAUAUUGCUACUUGCACCGGUGGCGCCGCGGGUUUCCUCUUCUUCUUCUCGGUCUGAUGUACAAAAUCUUCUUCUGCUCCUCCUUCCCCGCCGUCUCAGGAGCUCACAUGCCUGGCAGAACCAUGGCUGAAAUGGAUAGCGAGAAGGUCCGUGUAAGACUAUGCGUUCGUCUACCACAUUAUGAAUGCCCCGAUCCUCCACAGUGUAACUGCUGUCUCGUGACUGAAUUAUGCUACACGACCAUGGCUGAGUGCAUCAUAGAGUGUGAGAAACUCUAA
Molecule: ribosomal RNA, 375 nt
Filed under: Triticum aestivum (bread wheat)
Lineage: Eukaryota; Viridiplantae; Streptophyta; Magnoliopsida; Poales; Poaceae
Description: partial small subunit ribosomal RNA
Source: RNAcentral